UACAGAGGUCCCAAGCGUUGUUCGGAUUCACUGGGCGUAAAGGGUGCGUUGGUGGUCGGGUAAGUCUGAUGUGAAAUCUCCGAGCUUAACUCGGAAACUGCAUCGGAUACUAUCUGGCUUGAGGAUCGGAGGGGAGACUGGAAUUCUCGGUGUAGCAGUGAAAUGCGUAGAUAUCGAGAGGAACACCAGUGGCGAAGGCGAGUCUCUAGACGAUUCCUGACGCUGAGGCACGAAAGCUAGGGGAGCAAACAGG
RNAcentral lists this ribosomal RNA (253 nucleotides) under uncultured bacterium. Its description in RNAcentral is "partial 16S ribosomal RNA". It matches the Rfam family "Bacterial small subunit ribosomal RNA", at positions 524 to 776 of the family's 1533-position model. The record is from RNAcentral.